UACAGAGGGUGCAAGCGUUAAUCGGAAUUACUGGGCGUAAAGCGUGCGUAGACGGUUACAUAAGUCGGGUGUGAAAGCCCCGGGCUCAACCUGGGAAUUGCAUUCGAGACUGCGUAGCUAGGGUGCGGAAGAGGGAAGCGGAAUUUCCGGUGUAGCGGUGAAAUGCGUAGAUAUCGGAAGGAACAUCAGUGGCGAAAGCGGCUUCCUGGUCCAGCACCGACGUUCAAGCACGAAAGCGCGGGGAGCAAACAGG
This 253-nucleotide ribosomal RNA is filed under the name uncultured bacterium. RNAcentral describes it as "partial 16S ribosomal RNA". It matches the Rfam family "Bacterial small subunit ribosomal RNA", at positions 524 to 776 of the family's 1533-position model. The record is from RNAcentral.